AACGAACGCUGGCGGCAGGCUUAACACAUGCAAGUCGAACGGUUGUAGCAAUACAGCAGUGGCAGACGGGUGAGUAACACGUGGGAACCUUCCUAGGGGUACGGAACAACUCAGGGAAACUUGAGCUAAUACCGUAUACGUCCGUAAGGAGAAAGAUUUAUCGCCCUUAGACGGGCCCGCGUCGGACUAGCUAGUUGGUGGGGUAACGGCCUACCAAGGCGACGACCCGUAGCUGAUCUUAGAGGAUGAUCAGCCACACUGGGACUGAGACACGGCCCAGACUCCUACGGGAGGCAGCAGUGGGGAAUCUUGGACAAUGGGCGCAAGCCUGAUCCAGCCAUGCCGCGUGAGUGAAGAAGGUCUUCGGAUUGUAAAGCUAUUUUGCCAGGGACGAUAAUGACGGUACCUGGAGAAUAAGCCCCGGCAAACUUCGUGCCAGCCGCCGCAGUAA
This 451-nucleotide ribosomal RNA is filed under the name uncultured bacterium. RNAcentral's name for it is "partial 16S ribosomal RNA". It matches the Rfam family "Bacterial small subunit ribosomal RNA", at positions 29 to 523 of the family's 1533-position model. The record is from RNAcentral.